Molecule: non-coding RNA, 54 nt
Organism: Salmo salar (Atlantic salmon)
Lineage: Eukaryota; Metazoa; Chordata; Actinopteri; Salmoniformes; Salmonidae
Source: Rfam
UGCAUUCACUGCUGUAAUUCGCUCUGGAUAAGAGCGUCUGCUAAAUGACUAAAA